AUUUAAUACAAGAGGUAAAAGAGAACCAUUGGAACUCAUCGAGCAGGAAACCUUCAGUGCUUCCUGCUUGGUUUGGUGUCCAGAGGUGUGGGAGAAGCAAUGAGCUGUGGAGGAAUGAGCAUUGACUGGAUGGAGGGUCUGAAGAGCUAGAGUCAAAUUCUGAUUGCCAUUUACUUCCCACAUGAUCUUGAUAAGAACACCAAGGAUCAGAAGUGGCAUGUUCUGUGACUCGGGAGUAAGUACUCAUUCCACUGUCCCAUACUGCCUCUCAAUAGUAAGCACUUGAUAAAUACUCAUUCAUUAAUUGAUAAGGCAGAUAAAAAUAAGAGCCUGUGCAGAUAGAAUUUUAUCCCAAAUGAUGAAUGGCUAUGUUUGUGGUUGUUCUGUCGUUUUUCAAUCAUGUAUGACUUUGUGACCCCAUUUGGGAUGUUAAAUUUAUUUUUGGUUGGACUUUGAAUAUAUUAUUAAUUAGGUGGUCACCAGGG
This 485-nucleotide long non-coding RNA is filed under the name Monodelphis domestica (gray short-tailed opossum). Its description in RNAcentral is "lncRNA (ENSMODG00000039188.1)". Lineage: Eukaryota; Metazoa; Chordata; Mammalia; Didelphimorphia; Didelphidae. The record is from RNAcentral.